UAGAGUUUGAUCCUGGCUCAGAACGUACGCUGGCGGCACGCCUAACACAUGCAAGUCGAACGAAGUAGCAAUACUUAGUGGCAGACGGGUGAGUAACAUGUAGGUAUCUGCCCUUUGGCCUGGAAUAACACGAGGAAACUUGUGCUAAUACCGGAUAAGUCUUUACGGAGAAAGCUUUAUGCACCAUUGGAUGAGCCUGCACUUGAUUAGUUUGUUGGUGGGGUAAUGGCCUACCAAGACUGUGAUCAAUAGCUGAUUUGAGAGGAUGAUCAGCCACAUUGGGACUGAGACACGGCCCAAACUCCUACGGGAGGCAGCAGUGGGGAAUCUUGCACAAUGGAGGAAACUCUGAUGCAGCGAUGCCGCGUGAGUGAAGAAGGCCUUUGGGUUGUAAAGCUCUUUCGUCGGGGAAGAAAAUGACUGUACCCGAAUAAGAAGGUCCGGCUAACUUCGUGCCAGCAGCCGCGGUAAUACGAAGGGACCUAGCGUAGUUCGGAAUUACUGGGCUUAAAGAGUUCGUAGGUGGUUGAAAAAGUUAGUGGUGAAAUCCCAGAGCUUAACUCUGGAACUGCCAUUAAAACUUUUCAGCUAGAGUAUGAUAGAGGAAAGCAGAAUUUCUAGUGUAGAGGUGAAAUUCGUAGAUAUUAGAAAGAAUACCAAUUGCGAAGGCAGCUUUCUGGAUCAUUACUGACACUGAGGAACGAAAGCAUGGGUAGCGAAGAGGAUUAGAUACCCUCGUAGUCCAUGCCGUAAACGAUGUGUGUUAGACGUUGGAAAUUUAUUUUCAGUGUCGCAGGGAAACCGAUAAACACACCGCCUGGGGAGUACGACCGCAAGGUUAAAACUCAAAUGAAUUGACGGGGACCCGCACAAGUAGUGGAGCAUGUGGUUUAAUUCGAAGAUACGCGCAGAACCUUACCAACACUUGACAUGUUCGUCGCGACUCUAAGAGAUUAGAGUUUUCGGUUCGGCCGGACGAAACACAGGUGCUGCAUGGCUGUCGUCAGCUCGUGUCGUGAGAUGUUGGGUUAAGUCCCGCAACGAGCGCAACCCUCACUUUUAGUUGCCAUCAUUAAGUUGGGCACUCUGAAAGAACUGCCAGUGAUAAGCUGGAGGAAGGUGGGGAUGACGUCAAGUCCUCAUGGCCCUUACGUGUUGGGCUACACACGUGCUACAAUGGUAUCUACAACAGGAAGCAAAACUGCGAAGUUAAGCAAAUCCCUAAAAGAUACCUCAGUUCGGAUUGCACUCUGCAACUCGAGUGCAUGAAGCUGGAAUUACUAGUAAUCGUGGAUCAGCGUGCCACGGUGAAUGCGUUCCCGGGUCUUGUACACACCGCCCGUCACACCAUGGGAGUUGGUUCUACCUUAAGGCAAGGUUUAAAACCCUUGACCACGGUAUAGUCAGCGACUGGGGUGAAGUCGUAACAAGGUAACCA
RNAcentral lists this ribosomal RNA (1438 nucleotides) under uncultured bacterium. Its description in RNAcentral is "bacterial SSU rRNA". It matches the Rfam family "Bacterial small subunit ribosomal RNA". The record is from RNAcentral.